UGGGGAAUAUUGGACAAUGGGGGCAACCCUGAUCCAGCCAUGCCGCGUGAGUGAUGAAGGCCUUCGGGUUGUAAAGCNCUUUUGGCGGGGGACGAUGAUGACGGUACCCGGCAGAAAUAAGCCCCGGCUAACUUCGUGCCAGCAGCCGCGGUAAGACGAAGGGGGCUAGCGUUGUUCGGAAUUACUGGGCGUAAAGCGAGUGUAGGCGGUUGCCGUAGUCAGGUGUGAAAGCCUUGAGCUCAACUCAAGAAAUGCACUUGAUACUGGGUGACUAGAGGACCGGGAGAGGAUAGUGGAAUUCCCCAGUGUAGUGGUGAAAUACGUAGAGAUUGGGAAGAACACCAGUGGCGAAGGCGGCUAUCUGGACGGUUACUGACGCUAAGACUCGAAAGCGUGGGGAGCAAACAGGGAUUUAGAUACCCUGGUAGUCCACGCCGUAAACGAUGGGUGCUAGACGUUGGCGAGCUUGCUCGUCAGUGUCGCAGCUAACGCGUUAAGCA
Molecule: ribosomal RNA, 500 nt
Filed under: uncultured bacterium
Lineage: Bacteria
Description: partial 16S ribosomal RNA
Rfam family: Bacterial small subunit ribosomal RNA
Source: RNAcentral